UUUAAAAGGGCAUUUGACAUCAGUCUCCACCACCAACGUCUAAUUGCAAAGAAAAUCCAUUUUGGCGUUACUUUGAGGUAUUGUCGCAGCUUAUUGACAUCUGGGGAAGGGGAUCUGAUGUUUAAUGUGUAUUAGACGUCAACCCCUUCUGAUGACUUGGGUCCAAGCCCAUCAUGGACCCAUCACUAGAAGCAUGACCCAUCAUAAGGAGAAGGGUAAAUCUGUCCUAAAUGAAGAAUAAAAUUGCUGGAAGCACCCCUCACCUUUGCUAAAUACACCAUGGCAGAAAUCAUUUUCCAGCACAUGUUAAAAACGUUUCUGGAAGCUGAUCACGGAAUUCAUGCAUUGCCACGUGGAAGCUGAUCCACAUUUCUUGGUUUUCAUCUACACCACACGUAGAUCCUAGGCAAUGCUAUAAAUUCCAUUGUUAGCACAUGUAUCAGUUACUUUGGAUAUCAAUGAGAAUUUUCUUCUUUGCUGAUUCAUUCUUCUCAACCGAGAGAUCCUCUGCCAAAGUCAUCUUCGCUGAUCUUCACUCUAUCUCCUAGCUUUCUUCCAGUUCAUGGAAGCCGUCUGAAGCUAGAUCUCCUUCUACAUAGAUCUUCAACCACACAUCUACUUCACCUUGCAUCCAUUAU
This 638-nucleotide long non-coding RNA is filed under the name Vigna radiata. RNAcentral describes it as "long non-coding RNA (VRAD_LNC003562)". Lineage: Eukaryota; Viridiplantae; Streptophyta; Magnoliopsida; Fabales; Fabaceae. The record is from RNAcentral.